GGUUUUUACUUUUAGGAAUAUGGCAACCCUAUUCAUAAUCCUAUUUUAGGUGGGUUUAGUAAGGUGUGUUCAAAAAAUGAAUGGCUAGGUUGAAGUACAGUGCUGAUACAGUAUUUCCAAUAUUAUAUGGGGUAAUAAAGAUACAAUAAUAACCAGUUCUGAACAUUCUAAAGUCAUGUCAAAGAAAUAAUACAGGGAGCCUGUUUUCAGGGGCUUAGUUACAUUGGACUGAGUUUGAGGAGGAAAGAAGAAGGAAGUAACAAUGCAUUUCUGAUUCUUCAUCCUGUCCUAAAUGCAGGAGCUGAGGCGGAAGAACAUAUUUUUCCUGCCCUUUCAAAAUCUCUUCUAGGAUUACAGGGAUGUAAACACAUUAUUGGUGCUUUGUCCCACACACCCAACUUGUUGUUGUUGUUUAGUCGUUUAGUCGUGUCCGACUCUUCGUGACCCCAUGGACUAGAGCACGCCAGGUACUCCUGUCUUCCACUGCCUCCCGCAGUUUGGUCAGACUCAUGUUUGUAGCUUCCAGAACACUGUCUAACCAUCUCAUCCUCUGUCGUCCCCUUCUCCUUGUGCCCUCCAUCUUUCCCAACAUCAGUGUCUUUUCCAGGGAGUCUUCCCUUCUCAUGAGGUGGCCAAAGUAUUGGAGCCUCAGCUUCACAAUCUGUCCUUCCAGUGAGCACUCAGGGCUGAUUUCCUUAAGAAUGGAUACGUUUGAUCUUCUUGCAGUCCAUGGGACUCUCAAGAGUCUCCUCCAGCACCAUAAUUCAAAAGCAUCAAUUCUUCGGCGAUCAGCCUUCUAUAUGGUCCAGCUCUCACUUCCAUACAUCACUACUGGGAAAACCAUGGCUUUUACUAUACAGACCUUUUACUAUACGGAACUAAGUUGGCUUUAAGAAAGUUUAAGGAGCAAUGCAGUUGCUUGGUUGGGUGAAGCAACCUGUAUCUCCAGUUGGCUGCAGUUGUUGCUUCUGCUGAUUUGUAAAGGUGAGAGUGGCUUUGCAGAGCAGGGCUAGCUCCUCAAUUGGGUCUAUCAAUUUCGAUUUUGAAUUGAAGACACAGGAGGCAUCUCCACCUCUUUACUCUCUCAUCCAUUACUGAAAUUUUCUAAACUCAAAUGAGAAAAGAUGUAAGAAAUGCACAAUAGUUUCUGUCCACAAAAGCACCCCAACUGUAGUAGAUUUACUCAAUAGAUCUAAUCUAUUGAGUCUGCUACCUCUUCCCACACUCCAUCUGAAGACUGUUAUCAAUACAGCCUCUAUGGCUUUAAUACCAAGCCAGCUUUUCAUUACAACCUGCCUCCCUUUUGCUUGAAACCCAGCCUGAUUAAGAGUUCUAGAGAAGCCGAAAGAUUACUCACUGUUUUAGAAAAUUCAGGUUGGCCUAAUAAAGGGGUUGCUCUACUAUAGAUUUUGGAUUUUGUUGUUGCUCUUUGUGUAACUUGAUCAAGGUAAUUCAGCAGAAGCAUGAGGUUGUGGCAGAGACAAAAAUCUGACUCCAGCCCAGUGCCUGAUAUUGUAUACCAUACUCCUGCCUCAUUCUUCAGUAUACAAAUUAUUUCACCCUCUGCUAGGAAGUAUCAGCUCAGUCACCUAGGAUGCAAACUUGCAGAAAAUAACAAGGUAUUCUAGGAGGAAAUUAUUGGGGUGUAGAUAUUGUAGGAACUGGUUCAGAUGGCUAUGAAGGUGGCUUUGUGUGGUGUAGUGGUUAAGAGCGGUAGUCUCGUAAUCUGGGGAACCGGGUUCGUGUCUCCGCUCCUCCACAUGCUGCUGCUGGGUGACCUUGGGCUAGUCACACUUCUUUGAAGUCUCUCAGCCGCACUCACCUCACAGAGUAUUUGUUGUGGGGGAGGAAGGGAAAACGAGAUUGUUAGCCGCUUUGAGACUCCUUCGGGUAGUGAUAAAGCGGGAUAUCAAAUCCAAACUUCUCCUCCUCCUCUUCUUCUUCUUCUUCUUCUUCUUCUUCUUCUUCGUGCAGUUCACUGCUUCUAUUGAUAGAAAUUUGGUCAUGUGUCUUUUCAACCAGUUACAUCUAAGUAACAUACAGAGGAAUAGACAUCUCUAUGGUUUACUUAUGUAAUAAAGUCUACUCAAGACCCAAAACUUUUGUGUACAAAAGUUCUUGUAUGUAUACAUAUAUUCUUAAGAUCUUAAUUUUUUUCCUGUCUGAAUUCUAGGGCAUACCCAUUUGCUGUACUGUCAGUUUUAGUUUCUGCCUUUUGGAGCAAAGUUCAC
Non-coding RNA from Podarcis lilfordi (Lilford's wall lizard), 2231 nucleotides. The record is from the annotation of a GenBank genome assembly. NCBI's taxonomy places the organism in Eukaryota, Metazoa, Chordata, Lepidosauria, Squamata, Lacertidae.